CACAUGUUAUCAUUAGUAACAAUAUCAACACAACACAGACAUAUGACACUGCAGAAGGCAUGUUUCACAAUGAUUGACACAUGCAUCACGCGCUGUGCGGAGGGCACCAAGUGCAGAGGGGGCACCAAAAAUAGCCGAGACGAAGAUGAAGUUUGACAGUAGGCUAAGUCAACUUUUUUUGGAAAUGAAAAGACAGCAGGAGUCAGGAGCAGAGACAAGAAAGAAGAAGAAACUGUGAGAUGAUGCCCAUGCAUCACUAGCUGGUAAGUCCAUGUUUAAUCAUUCUUAAAUACGGGAAAUGUGCUGCUAAUGUAAUGGUUAGCCUAUGCAUACACGUCGAACCAGCUGACGUUAUUGCUAAUGUUAGCAAACUCAAAUAUGUUAUAACUUAGGGGCAAGCUAAAUUGAGAUUUUACUGUU
Sander lucioperca (pikeperch) is the source of this 420-nucleotide long non-coding RNA. RefSeq lists it as uncharacterized. The transcript is spliced from 2 exons. NCBI's taxonomy places the organism in Eukaryota, Metazoa, Chordata, Actinopteri, Perciformes, Percidae. The record is from RefSeq and is a predicted model, not a curated record.